This 83-nucleotide small RNA is filed under the name Marmota monax (woodchuck). Lineage: Eukaryota; Metazoa; Chordata; Mammalia; Rodentia; Sciuridae. The record is from RNAcentral.
GCUGGGUGUGGUGGUGCAUACCUAUAAUUCCAGCAGCUCAGAAGGUUGAGGCAGGAGGAUUUGAAGUUCAAAGCCAGCCUCAG